GGCCCCGUGGUGUAGUGGUUACACGUCCUCUGUCUGUAUAGAUGUCUGAAGAGGGUAUGAGGGAAUCCCUGUUCGAAUCAGGGCAGGGCCG
This is a non-coding RNA of Mycena rosella, 91 nucleotides long. The record is from the annotation of a GenBank genome assembly. Lineage: Eukaryota; Fungi; Basidiomycota; Agaricomycetes; Agaricales; Mycenaceae.